This 83-nucleotide transfer RNA is filed under the name Streptomyces capillispiralis. RNAcentral describes it as "tRNA-Pro". Lineage: Bacteria; Bacillati; Actinomycetota; Actinomycetes; Kitasatosporales; Streptomycetaceae. The record is from RNAcentral.
UCCUCGCCGUGGGGGACGGAGUGGUCCCCGCCGUAGGGGGCGGCGGAGUGUUCCCCGCCGUACGGGGCGGCGGGCAUGUGACC